RNAcentral lists this transfer RNA (88 nucleotides) under Candidatus Nitrosopumilus sp. Its description in RNAcentral is "Nitrosopumilus sp. tRNA-Leu". It matches the Rfam family "tRNA". Rfam says of the family: Transfer RNA (tRNA) molecules are approximately 80 nucleotides in length. Their secondary structure includes four short double-helical elements and three loops (D, anti-codon, and T loops). The record is from RNAcentral. Lineage: Archaea; Thermoproteati; Nitrososphaerota; Nitrososphaeria; Nitrosopumilales; Nitrosopumilaceae.
GCAGAGGUAUCGAAGCCCGGUCAACCGAGAGGGACUCAAGAUCCCUUCUCUCAGGAGUUCGUGGGUUCGAAUCCCACCCUCUGCACCA